GGGGAUUUAGUUCAGUGGUAGAGCACUUGCCUAGCAAGUGCAAGGCCCUGGGUUCAGUCCCCA
Molecule: non-coding RNA, 63 nt
Organism: Rattus norvegicus (Norway rat)
Lineage: Eukaryota; Metazoa; Chordata; Mammalia; Rodentia; Muridae
Source: Rfam